Molecule: long non-coding RNA, 529 nt
Filed under: Eutrema salsugineum
Lineage: Eukaryota; Viridiplantae; Streptophyta; Magnoliopsida; Brassicales; Brassicaceae
Description: long non-coding RNA (ESAL_LNC000082)
Source: RNAcentral
UCUUCUUCUUUUUCUAUUCACUCCUCAACACUUGGAUUCCAAAAAUCCACCUGAGAUCGAUGUCUCCUUGACUUUCUCUGCUUUUGAAUUAACUCUGUUGCAGUCACUACAUGUGGGUUAGCUAGAGAGGCUCUCAGGUUGCUGCGGGAGCGGAAAGACGGAUAUGACAUCGUGAUCAGCGACGUGAACAUGCCUGACAUGGACGGCUUCAAGCUCCUUGAGCACGUUGGCCUUGAAUUGGACCUCCCUGUCAUAAGUGAGACGUCUCUUAUCAAGAUCUUGGAGUAAUAAAGAAACAAAAACGUUUCGUAAUCUUGUUGUUUUGUUACAGUGAUGUCGGUGGAUGGUGAAACGAGCAGAGUGAUGAAAGGAGUGCAGCAUGGAGCUUGCGAUUACCUAUUGAAGCCGAUAAGAAUGAAGGAGCUGAAGAUUAUAUGGCAACAUGUCCUGAGAAAGAAGCUUCAAGAAGUGAAAGACAUCGAAGGCUCAUGCUGCUACGAAGGAGGAGCUGAUUGGAUCAUUAGAAACG